This 20-nucleotide unclassified non-coding RNA is filed under the name Dictyostelium discoideum. The record is from RNAcentral. Lineage: Eukaryota; Evosea; Eumycetozoa; Dictyosteliales; Dictyosteliaceae.
UUGUUUUGCUUCGUUGUUCU